RNAcentral lists this ribosomal RNA (1311 nucleotides) under uncultured bacterium. Its description in RNAcentral is "bacterial SSU rRNA". It matches the Rfam family "Bacterial small subunit ribosomal RNA", at positions 29 to 1329 of the family's 1533-position model. The record is from RNAcentral.
AUGAACGCUAGCUACAGGCUUAACACAUGCCCUUCGAGGGGCAGCAUGGCCUAUCUUUCGGGAUGGGCCGAUGGCGACCGGCGCACGGGUGAGUAACGCGUAUCCAACCUUCCCUUUACUGGGGUCCAGCCCGUCGAAAGGCGGAUUAAUCCCCCAUGUUCUCCGUCCCGGACAUCUGUGUCGGAGCAAAGAUUUAUCGGUAAAGGAUGGGGAUGCGUCCGAUUAGCUUGUUGGCGGGGUAACGGCCCACCAAGGCAUCGAUCGGUAGGGGUUCUGAGAGGAAGGUCCCCCACACUGGAACUGAGACACGGUCCAGACUCCUACGGGAGGCAGCAGUGAGGAAUAUUGGUCAAUGGCCGUAAGGCUGAACCAGCCAAGUAGCGUGAGGGAAGACUGCCCUAUGGGUUGUAAACCUCUUUUAUGCGGGGAUAAAGGUGUCCACGUGUGGAUGUUUGCAGGUACCGCAUGAAUAAGGACCGGCUAAUUCCGUGCCAGCAGCCGCGGUAAUACGGAAGGUCCGGGCGUUAUCCGGAUUUAUUGGGUUUAAAGGGAGCGUAGGCCGGUCUUUAAGCGUGCCGUGAAAUUUUGGGGCUCAACCAUGAGGAGUGCGGCGCGAACUUGGAGACCUUGAGUGCGCGAAGGGCCAGGCGGAAUUCGUGGUGUAGCGGUGAAAUGUUUAGAUAUCAGGAAGAACCCCGAUUGCGAAGGCAGCCUGCCGCAGCGUUACUGACGCUGAAGCUCGAAAGCGCGGGUAUCGAACAGGAUUAGAUACCCUGGUAGUCCGCGCGGUAAACGAUGGAUGCCCGCUGUCGGCGAUAUACAGUCGGCGGCCAAGCGAAAGCGUUAAGCAUCCCACCUGGGGAGUACGCCGGCAACGGUGAAACUCAAAGGAAUUGACGGGGGCCCGCACAAGCGGAGGAACAUGUGGUUUAAUUCGAUGAUACGCGAGGAACCUUACCCGGGCUUGAAUUGCAGAGGAAAGAUCCAGAGAUGGUGAUGCCCUUCGGGGCCUCUGUGAAGGUGCUGCAUGGUUGUCGUCAGCUCGUGCCGUGAGGUGUCGGCUUAAGUGCCAUAACGAGCGCAACCCCUUUCCCUAGUUGCCAUCGGUUCUAGCCGGGCACUCUGGGGACACUGCCUCCGCAAGGAGUGAGGAAGGUGGGGAUGACGUCAAAUCAGCACGGCCCUUACGUCCGGGGCUACACACGUGUUACAAUGGGUGAUACAGAGGGCCGGCCGCUGGCAACAUCGGUCCAAUCCUUAAAGUCAUCCUCAGUUCGGACUGGGGUCUGCAACCCGACCCCACGAAGCUGG